GGCCCAGGUUGCCCAGAGAAGCUGUGGCUGCCCCUGGAUCCCUGGGAGUGUCCAAGGCCAGGUUGGACGGGGCUUGGAGCAACCUGGGCUAGUGGAAGGUGUCCCUGCCCAUGGCAGGGGUGGAAUGGAUGGGCUUUAAGGUCCCUCCCAACUCAAACCUUCCAUGAUUCCAUGAUUCAGAGGGGGGUGGGAAGUGAUGUCACAGCUCCUGGAGCUCUGCAGUUCUGCAGGACAUGCACUUCACCUGCCCAACAGCACCACCCAUCCCCAGCACCUGCCCUGCCUUGUGCUGCUGCCCAGGGCACAGGGGGACGAGGGAAUGCUGGUGCUCUGCUCCCCGAGCAGUCACCCUCUGCUCUGCCCCUCCUGCCCUGUUCCAGGGCUCCUUGGAUCCCUGGAGGAGCUGGCACUCCAGGCUGUGUGUGGUGAGCCAGGCCCGGCUGCCUGGCCUGGAUGGCUCCUCCCUGGAACAUUUUGGGCUCCUGUGUGCUCGGUGUUCCUGAUAAAUUCUUCCUUUGAUGCACAGAGCAAGAGAGAAGGUCCAGUGUUCCCUACUUGGCUGGAGAAGGUUUAAAUACUGAAUAUGUUUUGCUUUUGAAA
This is a long non-coding RNA of Pseudopipra pipra, 600 nucleotides long. RefSeq lists it as uncharacterized. The transcript is spliced from 2 exons. The record is from RefSeq and is a predicted model, not a curated record. NCBI's taxonomy places the organism in Eukaryota, Metazoa, Chordata, Aves, Passeriformes, Pipridae.